GAUGAACGCUGGCGGCGUGCCUAAUACAUGCGAGUCGAGCGAACAGAUGAGGAGCUUGCUCCUCUGACGUUAGCGGCGGACGGGUGAGUAACACGUGGAUAACCUACCUAUAAGACUGGGAUAACUUCGGGAAACCGGAGCUAAUACCGGAUAAUAUAUUGAACCGCAUGGUUCAAUAGUGAAAGACGGUUUUGCUGUCACUUAUAGAUGGAUCCGCGCCGCAUUAGCUAGUUGGUAAGGUAACGGCUUACCAAGGCAACGAUGCGUAGCCGACCUGAGAGGGUGAUCGGCCACACUGGAACUGAGACACGGUCCAGACUCCUACGGGAGGCAGCAGUAGGGAAUCUUCCGCAAUGGGCGAAAGCCUGACGGAGCAACGCCGCGUGAGUGAUGAAGGUCUUCGGAUCGUAAAACUCUGUUAUUAGGGAAGAACAAAUGUGUAAGUAACUAUGCACGUCUUGACGGUACCUAAUCAGAAUGCCACGGCUAACUACGUG
This 497-nucleotide ribosomal RNA is filed under the name uncultured bacterium. Its description in RNAcentral is "partial 16S ribosomal RNA". It matches the Rfam family "Bacterial small subunit ribosomal RNA", at positions 28 to 507 of the family's 1533-position model. The record is from RNAcentral.